GCAUAGUUUAAAACUGCUCCUUUUCAGUUAAAAUGGACUCAUUUUGCACCCAUAUAAAGGACAGAAAUGUUGUUUCCAAGCAAGAGGCAUGAUGUGACAUUCUGUAAGUUAACUUUGCCUCUUUUACGCAUAGCAUAUGUAAGUUGAAUAAGAACAAAUGAAACAAUAAUGAAUCUAUGAAUGUUACAAGCUACUAUUUUAUUCUGUAAAACACAUGCACUCUUUACAUCGUGGAAACCGGUAAACACUCCUUGCCACAGGCCUUUCAAAAACGUGUUUAGUUUGUCUGACUGCCUUCCUAACUCUUUGCUCAAACACUUUCCAUGCUAUAGUGGAGUUUUUCAUGAAUAUGGCCGCAAGUCUCCGCUUGUUUGGCCGUAUUGUCGGCAUUCUCCCUCCACCAUAAUAAGUUCGAUAUCCAGCGACCAAAGAUGACAGCUGACUCCCUGAGUCUGUCAUGGCAAAUGCAUCAGCAGCAGUGCAUGCUAUGAAGUCCAGUGCAGCUAGCUGCAGAAGAAAUGAGCUCAUCAUGCGUUGGUACAGUAAAAAAGAAACGAAGUCCAUUGACAAUAACACAAUUUAUGAUAUGAACCAUUUAAUGGUAUUGCGAGAUUACUAAAGGAGAAGCCCCUAUAGUUAUUGGCAGCAAGCUGAGUAGAGAGCUGAAAUAGGACCAUAGAAUGCAAAAAGGGUGAAUCCCUCAGCCAGAAAGUUUCUCAAGAGAAAGUACCAAUAUCCAACUUAGAAACUCCAAAUAUUCCCUGGACGAUUGGAAGGCUACAUUCAUGGUCCUAGGGCAUCCUACACUCUCAUUAGAAAGACCUAUCACUCAGUACAAAAAAGUUUAUGGUAGAUUCCAAACUUAAAGUGAAGGCCAUUUCCAGGUUAUGCUUCUGCCAAACAGGUCCUGGGAAGAGAAGAUUUUGAAAGAUCCCUACCCUUUAUGGAAUGAACUGGCUGCACUUGUAACUAAAACCCAUUAACUUGUAAAGCAUUAAUGGUGUCACAAUUCAUUUUUCCCUAGAUUUUUGCAUAAAAAUUAUUCUUCACUCCAACUAGUGCAUUAGAAUAAAUAUUGCAGAAAACAAAAGCAAAACUAAACUAGAAAACAAAAGAGAUUAGUCUCACUUUGUUACCUGAGAUGAAAAGUUCAAGAAUGGCUCAAGUUCAGUUGCUGAAAGCAGUUUCUCUUUAGUAACUAAAUUAGGAUACAAGCUGGUUAAAGCAGCUAACCUUGGUUGUCCCCCAUAUAUAUUUGCACCAGCCACAAAUAUAUGUGUCUUCCGGUUGAAACCAAGAGCAGCAAGCAUAAGUACUGCUUCUUCAGGUGUCAAUGGACACAGGCCUUCUGACCUGAGCACUGAUGGAGAAGGUAGCCUGCAACAAUUAAAACAAUUUACCUAGAAUAUAUUGUAGAUGGGUUUCCUUCCAAAAGAUAUAGCGAACAAAUGGAUAUGAGCUCUUCAACAAUUUUUUUUUUUAUGACAAAUUUUACUUCAUGUGGAAGAAUAUUAGAAAAUGAAGCAUGCUAAUCCUAUUUGGACACCAAAAAUAGAAAUGUGCUAGAAUCACAGUCCAUUUUCACAUGGCAGGUAUGGGAGGAAUAAGAAUUCCAAAAGUGGGCUUGACCAUGUAUGUGCCCCUAAAACUCAUUGGAUAAGAUAACAGAAAGUACAAGUCCACCAUCCAUUCAUCAGUAAGUCUAUAUAACAAAACUAUAAAAAUAAAAGGGCAAUAGAAAUGAAAGAAAUAAAAUUCAAAGCAACUUAUCAACUGCUGCAGAUAGCAAUUAUGCAUGGUAAAAGCACCUUUGGAUCUAGCAAACUAUAAGACAUGAAGACAUGCUGAUAUGUAUAUAAAUUAAUAUGUACGAGUAGCAGAACAGCAAAAAAUUGCAGAAGUGCAUACCUUUUUGUAUUCUCAAUAAGUGCCAAUGCAGGGAAAUGAAUUGCACGGUAUGCUUCCAACACUUUUCUCUCUUCUUCACCACCACCAUAUUCACAUAAAGAAUGUGCUACCAUGUCAAUUUCAAACCUCAGAUGUAAAGCUAGAUAUCUUGAAGCUUUUCCAGCAUGAACCCCUUUUUCUUUCACAUUUGAUUUUGUGUAUGGACCGACAAGAUAAUGAUCCAAUGGUCCAGGAUGAGAUGCAUGUUUGUGCAACCUUUGAAGGAGCAAAGCACCAGUUUGUUGUAUUUUGGGAACAAAUUGCAGUGCAUGAAAGUUACAUCUGCAUCGAAGUCUCUGCAACUGAAAUGGUAUUGGAUCAAAUGCCAAGCGAUUUCCAAAUCCAAUGAAAUGGACAACUCUAUUUUUCAGCAAAAUAGGAAGAAUAUUUUUCAGAUAAAACCUUGGCUUAGACUCCUUCCUAAUAUCUACAUCAGUCACCUGAUCAACAUUUGCAAUUCAUUAUUAUAAACACUUGCUGGAACUAAAAUCAUUUCAACUAAGAAAUGUUCAAAAUUAAUUGAGAUAUCAAACUCACAACACUACCAAUCGCCUCCAAGUCUAGUGAUUGCAGGUCCUCAGGAAGUUCCUUCACUAUCCGAAUAUCAGGAGUCAGGUAAUUAAUAAAAUGCUCCUCCUGAUAGAUAUCGCUGAAUUGACUAUGAAAUAUAACAUUUGACAUAGUUAAUUACUUUUUCAUUGAAAUGAUAUAAUCAUAUGCAACAGUUACUACUUUUCCACCAAAACCACACAAUCAUAAAUGAGAGUUUCCAAGAAGGGGGAUGAAAAAAGAAGAGAGUUGGGGCGAUAGCCAAGGCAUUCACAAUAUUAUUAUAAUGCCGCUUAUUUGAAGUAAGAAUUUUUUCCAUGAGGUUACUAAAAGAAACCAACUUCAAGCUUAGCAGUGAAGCGAUCUAAAAACUAUCAGGGCAGCAAUAAUAUAGAUAGAUAAUUAUAGUCUAUCCAACAAUCAAUAGUUUGUUUUCACUUAAGGGGGAAAAGGUGUGAAGAUAUGAAUACAAAUGAAUUUUAAAGAAGGGGGAAAAUGUUACCUCACAUCUCUCCAGACGCUACUGUACAUAAAUUUAGGAACAACAAGAGUUGAAUUCAGCAACCGUGCAACAACAACAGCAUUGCAAACCUGUUUUCAAACAAGUAAGAACUAAGUUUGAACCAAUUGAAAAUCAUAAACAAAAUAACAUAUGUUAAACCUUCAGAAGCAAAGAGGAAGCAUACAAAAUUAUGAGAUUGGGCCUCAUAAGAAAACUCAUGUAAGCUGUAAUUGGUCGCAGGCAUUACUUACAGCUACUCUCUGCUGGUUCAUCCCACCAUUUGCUGUGACCAUUAUAUAACCGUUUUUUCCCCCACUAGGAUCCCAGUUGCGUUGAUCAGCACAAGGUAUCCAAGCGGAGGCCUCAACAAAUGGUUCCUGCCACAAAUCUUUUGGCUCGCGUUUAUUCUCUGCCAAGGCAUGGGCAGCCAAAGCCAACAUCCUUUCAUAACUACCUUUCUGCGUCUUUUUUCCUUUGCUAAGCUUUCCCCAUUUUUCCUGCACACAUUCCAAGUAUAUAAAUAACAAUACUCUAGCAGCAUAGGCUUACUUACAAAUGAAGGUCCCUCCCUUCCACACUAAUUUAGCUAGAAUUCUGAAACACCGCCUUGCUCCGAAUAACAGAAAAGCCCCUUUUUUUAUUUCAUUUUCCCUGAAUUGGUAAAGCUUUUUGGAAACCAAGAUCGAAGGAGGAGAAUUUUGAGAAGAAUAGUUUUGGAGGUCAGCCACUCGAUGGUCUUGAAGCCGCAAAAGCAUGAACCAAUUAACAAAGAAAAACAAACCCACUAAUCCAAUCACAGCCACCAGUCCCUUCACUUUCUUCCUUUGAUACCACAGCCUCCCGCCUUUUCUCUUCACCGUCCUAUUUACUUGCCUCUGUUUCUGAUCCCGCAAAAAACAGAACAAAAUUGACGACGAAAAUGGCUUGCCGUGUCGAUUAUCUAAAUAUAAGUCAUUGUUUAGUAACCUAGAGGAACUGAGUCGAGGUGAUUGACUAGGCGACGAUUGAUGGCUCAUAGAGGUGGCAGAAUUGGAGCGGGAGUGGAAAAAACAACUACUCUCGGUUCGAUCUGAAACCAACAUAUCUGAAAGCUGAGGGUAUUCUUUUUGGAGAAGGUUUGAGAGAUCAGAUGAUGAAUCCAUCUGGGUUUAAAUUGAAAUUUUAAAGUUGGAAAGAGAGGUUGCUUUAUGACAAGGAGAGCUCCUUGCUCGCUUUGCUAAAAAUUGAAGGAACUGUCUGAAUUUCAGGUCAUUUAAUUUUCUCUUUGUUGUCCUGAAAUGUCUUGAGAUAAAAAUGGUGUGCUG
RNAcentral lists this unclassified non-coding RNA (4302 nucleotides) under Hevea brasiliensis (rubber tree). The record is from RNAcentral. Lineage: Eukaryota; Viridiplantae; Streptophyta; Magnoliopsida; Malpighiales; Euphorbiaceae.